RNAcentral lists this ribosomal RNA (613 nucleotides) under Escherichia coli. Its description in RNAcentral is "partial 23S ribosomal RNA". It matches the Rfam family "Bacterial large subunit ribosomal RNA", at positions 612 to 1225 of the family's 2925-position model. Lineage: Bacteria; Pseudomonadati; Pseudomonadota; Gammaproteobacteria; Enterobacterales; Enterobacteriaceae. The record is from RNAcentral.
AUAAUGGGUCAGCGACUUAUAUUCUGUAGCAAGGUUAACCGAAUAGGGGAGCCGAAGGGAAACCGAGUCUUAACUGGGCGUUAAGUUGCAGGGUAUAGACCCGAAACCCGGUGAUCUAGCCAUGGGCAGGUUGAAGGUUGGGUAACACUAACUGGAGGACCGAACCGACUAAUGUUGAAAAAUUAGCGGAUGACUUGUGGCUGGGGGUGAAAGGCCAAUCAAACCGGGAGAUAGCUGGUUCUCCCCGAAAGCUAUUUAGGUAGCGCCUCGUGAAUUCAUCUCCGGGGGUAGAGCACUGUUUCGGCAAGGGGGUCAUCCCGACUUACCAACCCGAUGCAAACUGCGAAUACCGGAGAAUGUUAUCACGGGAGACACACGGCGGGUGCUAACGUCCGUCGUGAAGAGGGAAACAACCCAGACCGCCAGCUAAGGUCCCAAAGUCAUGGUUAAGUGGGAAACGAUGUGGGAAGGCCCAGACAGCCAGGAUGUUGGCUUAGAAGCAGCCAUCAUUUAAAGAAAGCGUAAUAGCUCACUGGUCGAGUCGGCCUGCGCGGAAGAUGUAACGGGGCUAAACCAUGCACCGAAGCUGCGGCAGCGACGCUGAUGCGUUGUU